Molecule: ribosomal RNA, 494 nt
Filed under: uncultured bacterium
Lineage: Bacteria
Description: partial 16S ribosomal RNA
Rfam family: Bacterial small subunit ribosomal RNA
Source: RNAcentral
GACGAACGCUGGCGGCGCGCUUAACACAUGCCAGUCGAACGGAAAGGCCUGCUUUCCCUUGUGGAUUGCGGGUACUCGAGUGGCGAACGGGUGAGUAACACGUGAGUGAUCUGCCCCCAACUUGGGUAUAAGCCUGGGAAACUGGGUCUAAUUCCCGAUAGGACUGCAGGGUGGUGCCUGUGGUGGAAAACGAUUUUCUAGUGGUUGGGGAUGAGCUCGCGGCCUAUCAGCUUGUUGGUGGGGUAAUGGCCUACCAAGGCGGCGACGGGUAGCCGGCCUGAGAGGGUGGACGGCCACAUUGGGACUGAGAUACGGCCCAGACUCCUACGGGAGGCAGCAGUGGGGAAUAUUGCACAAUGGGCGGAAGCCUGAUGCAGCGACGCCGCGUGGGGGAUGACGGCCUUCGGGUUGUAAACUCCUUUCGACCGCGAGGAAGCCACCUGGUUGGAAGGGUGGUGACGGUAGUGGGAGAAGAAGCACCGGCUAACUACGUG